ACGGAAGGCAGCAGUGGGGAAUAUUGCACAAUGGGCGAAAGCCUGAUGCAGCGACGCCGCGUGAGUGAAGAAGUAUCUCGGUAUGUAAAGCUCUAUCAGUAGGGAAGAAAAUGACGGUACCUGACUAAGAAGCCCCGGCUAACUACGUGCCAGCAGCCGCGGUAAUACGUAGGGGGCAAGCGUUAUCCGGAUUUACUGGGUGUAAAGGGAGCGUAGACGGUUUGGCAAGUCUGAAGUGAAAUGCGGGGGCUCAACUCCUGAACUGCUUUGGAAACUGUCGAACUAGAGUGCAGGAGAGGUAAGUGGAAUUCCUAGUGUAGCGGUGAAAUGCGUAGAUAUUAGGAGGAACACCAGUGGCGAAGGCGGCUUACUGGACUGUAACUGACGUUGAGGCUCGAAAGCGUGGGGAGCAAACAGGAUUAGAUACCCUGGUA
Molecule: ribosomal RNA, 434 nt
Filed under: uncultured Lachnospiraceae bacterium
Lineage: Bacteria; Bacillati; Bacillota; Clostridia; Lachnospirales; Lachnospiraceae
Description: partial 16S ribosomal RNA
Rfam family: Bacterial small subunit ribosomal RNA
Source: RNAcentral